GGGGAAUAUUGCACAAUGGGCGCAAGCCUGAUGCAGCCAUGCCGCGUGUGUGAAGAAGGCCUUCGGGUUGUAAAGCACUUUCAGCGGGGAGGAAGGCGGUGAGGUUAAUAACGUCACCGAUUGACGUUACCCGCAGAAGAAGCACCGGCUAACUCCGUGCCAGCAGCCGCGGUAAUACGGAGGGUGCAAGCGUUAAUCGGAAUUACUGGGCGUAAAGCGCACGCAGGCGGUCUGUCAAGUCGGAUGUGAAAUCCCCGGGCUCAACCUGGGAACUGCAUUCGAAACUGGCAGGCUAGAGUCUUGUAGAGGGGGGUAGAAUUCCAGGUGUAGCGGUGAAAUGCGUAGAGAUCUGGAGGAAUACCGGUGGCGAAGGCGGCCCCCUGGACAAAGACUGACGCUCAGGUGCGAAAGCGUGGGGAGCAAAC
This 425-nucleotide ribosomal RNA is filed under the name uncultured bacterium. Its description in RNAcentral is "bacterial SSU rRNA". It matches the Rfam family "Bacterial small subunit ribosomal RNA", at positions 356 to 773 of the family's 1533-position model. The record is from RNAcentral.